GAAAAAAAAAAAAAAGGACAUUUUGGAAUGAGACCAAAGGCAGAGGCAGAGAGUGGGUAGUUUUGGCGUAUGUUGAGCACUGAAAAUGCCUGGAAUUGCCAAACUGAGCUUUUGUAUGAGCAGCGUAAGGGCUACUCGGUGCACGCAGAGCCGCGGGGCUGCACGGAAUAGCCGGACGGAAAGUGAUUCUGCAUUUCCUUCAGUAGCCUGGAUGUCUUGGCAUUAGUAGCCACGUCACUUUGUUCGUGGACACUCUGAGGAGCAGAUCCCUGCCCUGUGGCACGGGGGGGAUCAGGCUCUGAUAAGGUGCUGGAAUGAUCGUCCUGCUGUUCCUUGAGUGGCUUUCCAGACAUGUGGAGAGAAGCAGACACUUGCAGAGCGGAGCUGGGAAGGAGAGCAGAAAGAGGUGAAAAAAUGGCUUUCCUUGCACAGAAAGGACCUGUGGAGCAGCCAAUGCCUGGAUAAGGCUCAUCCUAGUGCCUGGAUAAGGAUGAUCUUAGUGCCUGGAUAAAAAUCAUCUCAGUGCCUGGAUAAGAAUCAUCUCUAGUGCCUGGAAAAGAAUAAUCUCAU
This is a long non-coding RNA of Melozone crissalis (California towhee), 570 nucleotides long. RefSeq lists it as uncharacterized. NCBI's taxonomy places the organism in Eukaryota, Metazoa, Chordata, Aves, Passeriformes, Passerellidae. The record is from RefSeq and is a predicted model, not a curated record. The transcript has 3 exons.